UGAUGCAAUAAACCUUUCUUUGUGAUUUUUACACUUAAACAACUAAAGAUUGGAGCAUUUUAACAUUUUAGUAUUCUGCGAGUUUUUUAAGAGCUACAGCAAUGCCCAAAAAGAAACUAAUCAAAACUAUUUUUAAACUUGCUAUCAGUCAGUAUUGUUGACAUCAUAUUUAAAAUUACAAUUAAUUUUUUUUAAUUUAAUAAAUACAUUCAUUACAAAAUAAAAUAGUGAUGGAGGGAGAGGGGAUUCAACCACAUUGUAAUGUAAAUAAACUGUGUUAAACUCCUAAAUGUUGCAAACCUAUACCUAUAGAAUGGCGCAGAAACUGUUUCAAGAAUGAGGGAAUGGACUGGAUAGAGUUUGAAAGUAUGAAUGUGGCUAGUGCAUACUUUACCCUGACUACACUAGGAGACAAGAUACUUGCUGCAGGCGGAUAUGAUUCACAGGAGAGGACUGCUACUGUGGAGGUGUUUGAUGGAUCCUCUUGGAAGCUUCAAAACUAUGAAUUGACAUCUCCAAGAUAUCAACACUGUGCUGUUCCUGUCAGGUAUACGCUAUAUUUUGACUCCAAGA
Eurytemora carolleeae is the source of this 573-nucleotide long non-coding RNA. RefSeq lists it as uncharacterized. The record is from RefSeq and is a predicted model, not a curated record. The transcript has 3 exons. NCBI's taxonomy places the organism in Eukaryota, Metazoa, Arthropoda, Copepoda, Calanoida, Temoridae.